This 459-nucleotide ribosomal RNA is filed under the name uncultured bacterium. Its description in RNAcentral is "partial 16S ribosomal RNA". It matches the Rfam family "Bacterial small subunit ribosomal RNA", at positions 338 to 795 of the family's 1533-position model. The record is from RNAcentral.
CCUACGGGUGGCAGCAGUGAGGAAUAUUGGUCAAUGGACGAGAGUCUGAACCAGCCAAGUAGCGUGAAGGAUGAAUGCCCUAUGGGUUGUAAACUUCUUUUAUAUGGGAAUAAAAUGUUCCACGUGUGCGAUUUUGUAUGUACCUUAUGAAUAAGGAUCGGCUAACUCCGUGCCAGCAGCCGCGGUAAUACGGAGGAUCCGAGCGUUAUCCGGAUUUAUUGGGUUUAAAGGGAGCGUAGGUGGAUUGUUAAGUCAGUGGUAAAAUCGCGGGGCUCAACCUCGCCCCGCCGUUGAAACUGGCGUGCUUGAGUGGGCGAGAAGUAUGCGGAAUGCGGGGUGUAGCGGUGAAAUGCAUAGAUAUCACGCAGAACUCCGAUUGCGAAGGCAGCAUACCGGCGCCCAACUGACGCUGAGGCACGAAAGCGUGGGUAUCGAACAGGAUUAGAUACCCGGGUAGUC